This 71-nucleotide transfer RNA is filed under the name Marmota monax (woodchuck). RNAcentral describes it as "tRNA.Ala". The record is from RNAcentral. Lineage: Eukaryota; Metazoa; Chordata; Mammalia; Rodentia; Sciuridae.
GGGGUUGUGGCUCAGAGGUAGAGUGCUUACUUAGCAUGCAUGAGGCGCUGGGUUCAACCCUCAGCACCACA